Molecule: long non-coding RNA, 7265 nt
Organism: Gallus gallus (chicken)
Lineage: Eukaryota; Metazoa; Chordata; Aves; Galliformes; Phasianidae
Source: Ensembl
GGGGGUAAAUAUGGAGUAACAGGUGAACUUGUGUCUGUAUUUAUAUGUGUCCCAUGUCUGCUUUGUCUUGCUAUUGCCCUAAAGUAAACUGCACUGUGCUUUGCAAAAGUGAGCAUAGCUGCCUGGUUGUGUCAUUAUUUUUCUGGAAGUACUAUGCCACAGUACUGAGCUUAAAUCAGAUCAGUUAGAUAUUUACUGCCUUCAAAACCUGCUGAAGGUGAGACAGAUGGAUACGUGUGAGGGAUGGAGGCCAUGGUGGUGUUAGAAAUGUAAUUAACUUAUAGAUGUGGCAGACUUAUUUCAGAGAAUUUUUUAUUUCACUGAUUUGACCAAGUUGUGUAUUUGGCCUUUCAGAAUACAUUUGUUUCUCAACAAAGCUUGGGAAGUUCAGAGAUAUGGAAGACUGCAUCCUUUUUCCUCAUUAAAUAUGCUAUUUUAAUAACAUUUUUGUAAAAGUUUGGGCAUUUUCCAGCCCCUUCCGCAGCUUCCUGAAGGGACCCCAAUGUUUAUGUAAAUAAUGACUUUUGUCCACGUGAUGUGGAGCUUAAUCAAAAAUUUUCUGAUCUCAGUACCUCCCAUUCUUAUCUUCAUAGUCAUCCUGCAGGUCCCAUGUUACCAUACCUGCCAAGCAGCUUUUUCAGGGGUUUAAAUGUAGACAUACUUGAAAUUUUAUUUUUAAAUUCUUCAGAUGAUCUUUCAUUUCAAAACAAGCUGGACAUUCUUCAAGACUAGAUCUUCCCCCUGCUCAACCCAACCCCCCCCUUUUUUUAAUUAACCUCUUCUCAACAGAAGAAAAGCAUACUGCACCCCACUUUGAAAGCUCUUUGAUAACGUUUGUGAGGAAAUCAGUGUUUCUUAUUUGUGAGUCAGCUUGUCUUCAAAGAUACAGAAGAACAUUUCAGAACACCCCAUACUGUGCUUCGGACAACAGGUCUGGUUUGAUUGCUGAUCAGGCAAGGUGUCCUCAGACUGCUACAAAACCAGAGUCAGGGGAAAAUGAAACUGAUCUUUGUUUUCACUCAUUGUAAACUGGAGUUGCUCUGUGAAAGCCUCGGGAUCGUGAGCAAUUUACAACAGCUGAGGACCUAUGUUGGAAAGAAGACAAGUUUACUGUAACCUGAGGUACCCCACGGGGAAAGAAUGAAAACUGUCAGCAAUUUUCACCUCUUCCUGCAAGGGAUGACUGCUGGCGACCCCAACUCACAGCUGCUUUGGCUCUUCCACAGCUGCUUCACAUCCAGUAUUCCAGCUUCUUGUUGUGGUUUUUUUUUUUAAUACCCCAGGCAUUUUGCAAGAGCUGUCUCAGUGGACACGUCAGUCCCAAAGCGAUGGCACAACCAGCUGAGCCCUCUUCUGCAUGGUCUGUCUGAGCUAGUGAGCCAGGCUCACUUCACCUGGCAGUCAGUCUUGCAGUAGUGGCAAUUUAUUUUCAGAAAGUAAGUGCAUGUUCCAGGCAGCCGUCCUAGUAUCCUCAGGAGUUAGCCUCCGAUCGAAUAUGAAUAGUUCCAGCUAGAGGAGCCUUACUUAGAACUAAGGCCCCUGUCUAUAAGUAUCUUGCCAAACACUGCAACUUUUUGUUGCUUCUUUUCAGAACAAGUGUCUUAUAAAAUGCAAUAUGCAUGAGAAAAGGAGAGAGAUGAAAGCAGAAUUGUAAAGAAGGAGGAGGUCCUCAAAGUCCCCGUGGUGACGUAGAGGGGAAUUUACAAGGUCAUGUUGAGCCUGCUUAAAAAUGUGCUGAUGUGGAGAGCAUGAUGGGAAUUCUCAGAGCCAACUGGGGAUUGAGUCACUUGUCCAUGCCUGCUGCUGCAUCCGCCUGUGACUAAUGUUAGCAGCUCACCUUUUUCUUUGUUUUAAGCAGCUGAUGCGACCGAUGCUGACUCAACUCCAGAGGCUGGAAACGUAAGCCAGAUUGAAGCCAGAGGUGAUCUUGUUUCGAUGCAUGGGGUUUUAUUUUUCAUUGUUUGAUUAGGAUCACAGACAUAUCAAAGGCAUUGGAGAAAAAAAAGGCGUAUUUUUUGCCCUUCACCAAAGGUCUUUGGGAAUUUCAGCUCUACCUAGGGCAGGGGGGAGGUGGUGAAGAUGAGCCGGUUCAUUUCCCUCCCCCUCAGCCUCUCCUUCCCCAUCCUUACGUUAGCUUGAGCCUUUCUAUAGGGAAAAGAUAGGGGAAGGUGACUGGGACAGAUGAACGUGGUGUUAGUUAUGUCAGCUGCUCUUGGAAUUGGAGCUGAGGAAUCCGCCUACUGAGAAAUACAGCCAGAAAAUAAUCUGUCCCAAAGAGUUACUGCAGUCUCUGCAUAGGGCACCUGAAGAAUCUUUUGAAGGGCGUCUUUUUUCUUAUUACAGUAAUAUUUUUCAGGUUCACAAGGUGAGCACUGUAUAUGGGAUGCAGCUGGCUACAGUGAUUAAUGGCCCUUUCUGCUAAGAGUUCUUCCAAGAUCCUUUGGCUUUUCAUGUAUUCAGCAAAGCUUAUUUUCACUUAACUGUAGUCUCUCUUGGUGGCUUACUGUCCAUUUGGACCUUUAUGAUGUAUAUCUACAUGCUAGUUGAUCUCUGUUCAUGUCAAGGGAUCUGAGUAUGUCUCUCUCAAAUAUUCCUCGUAUGGUGCUUUCUGUCCUUGCUGCUCCGACUGAGAUUCCAGAUGCCAGUUAUGGGGAGAAGAGGCUCUGUUCAGGACAUGAGCACCAACUCAGAUGUCUUUUAAAGAAGAAACUGUUGCUGAAGCUGUGGUGGCUGGAGGAUGUCUUUUGGAUUAAGAGGUUGAUUCUAUAUGGUGGGUGAUGGAGUCAGCAGAUUGGGCAUCAAUACUGGCACCUUCUUGCUGCUACAAAGAGUCUCUCUAGCAAGGUAGUUGUCAAGAGGUAACUCAAACUCUGUUGCCUUUGUAUCAUAGGAUCAUGGAAUGGCUUGGGUUGGAAGGGACCUCAAAGAUCAUCAAGCUCCAGCUCCCCAGUAUCCACACACCGUGGUCCCUGGUCACAGCUUUUUAUUUGUUUGGUGGCACAAGAGAGGUGAUGGAAAACCAGAGCUAAAGACUCCCCUCCCUGCUGGCAACACUGCUACCCCAUCGCAUGGACAUUACUUGCUGUCCUCUUUCCUCUCUGGCUGUUCCCCACAAUAGCACUGCCUGCCCUCUCAUGCUGUGUUUCCUCCUUUUCAGGACUCCAUGGGUUGCUCCAGGCCAAGUUCUCUGUCUUGCUUUAUUCCUGGCCAUCUCACUCACCUGCCCCAGAGCUUGACUCUGGCUGAUGAGUGUCUGCCUCUUCUUAUCCUCAGAACAUCUUGUGUCUGGUGCAUGCAAACCUCUGCUGAAACUUAUGUUUCCUAACUCGUUUCCUAAGUUGUUUCUUCUCCCCUUGGAUAUUAUCGUUAAGAUGGCUGCCAUACCACAUCUGUUUCAAUGCGCAAUGCAAUUACCAGGUUUGGUGAAAGCAGUGUUUGUGAGUGCUCACAGUGAUCUAUGAUAAUCCUAUGUAACCACACAAAAGAGCCUCAAAUACAGUUUCUGCAAAAGUGUCUGAUUGAGAGAUAAUGAAUUUGGUGCUAAAUUGCCUUUGAUUUGAUGCUGUUAAGACUAAGAAGGAAACUACUGUCUCUGCUACCUGUCUCGAUUUAUCUUUUGACCCUCUGCAUGACCUUCAGGGUAACAUCUGAGCUUCUUGCACUGCAGCCCAGCCUUCAUUUGGGGGUGACUGCUAUGACACUGUCUGAAAAGUUUAAGCUUGUGAUGUUGUUGCCUUUGCUUCAAGAAACAGAGUGAAUUAACUGUAAAUUGUUACAAGAUAUGAGCUUUGCACCUUUUUCCAAUCAAGGGUUUCAUUUGUAGCGUAUGUAGUGUUUGUGAUGAUAGCUGGGGGAUCUCUUUUUUCACACAGAGGGUGGUGACGCACUGGAACAGGUUGCCCAGGGAGGUUGUGGAUGCCCCAUCCCUGGAGGCAUUCAAGGCCAGGAUGAAUGUGGCUCUGAGCAGCCUGGUCUGGUGGUUGGUGACCCUGCACAUAGCAGGGGGGUUGAAACUCGAUGAUCAUUGUGGUCCUUUUCAACCCAGGCCAUUCUGUGAUUCUACGAUUAUUCUGGAACUGUGCUAGUGUGUGUCUGGCAUAGAUACAGCAAGUGCACUUGUGUUUGAUAUUUGUAUGGAGGGGGAAGCUGGAGGAAGUUAAAGUCAAGUCAGGUCAGAGGAAAUUUACAAAAAAGUGGGGAAGACCCUCUGUCUCCUUCAAAUCCCACCUUACAGACUCCAGUGCUGCUGUAUUUGUUACUGGUGAUGGUGACAAAGCCAGGGGGAUGAGGUGGUUCAGAGCUUUUCAUCCCACUUCUCUCGCUUCUUUUCAGAAAAGACUGAGACUGAAUCAGGCAGAAAAAAAAGAUGGAUUUGCAAACAUUUGGCAGCCUUUGAAACCAGAGUGUGAUUUUUCUAUGUGCACGCACCUUUUCAGAGGUCAUUGUUGUGCGACAGGGAGGUAUUGCUCAUGCAAACUGGGAUGGCAAUUUCAGCCCAAUGGCUGGAAUUCACAUAACUGUCAAAGUAAACGAGUCUGGAGCACAAGCAACAGUGGUUUCAGAAGGUUAAAUCAGGAAGUAAACACCACUACGUGCUUUAGGCUUUAAAUUGUGAAUCAUGAAUGUCAAACACUUGAAGGUAUCAGCACAGCUAUUUAUCACAAAACAAACAACUUAACUCACUGAAUGCAUUUACAGAGGUCUUGUUCUUCUCCCACGCUUGGCUUCCUGGCAGACUCAGAAGUACUUUUGUAAGGAAGGACUCCUCUGCUACAGAAUGGAGGGAUGUGAAAUGGCUGACACUGAAUGCAGAUGGAGAGAUGGAAUCUAUCAAAGUACAGUUUGGAAUUAAGAGCAGAACAAGCACUUCCAGCCCAGCCCUAACACCCGCUGUUAUGCCUGAUUGCUGUUUCUCUGGGACUCCAUGGGAGAUGAGGAGCUGUCAACUAUCUGCUUGGAUGCCCAUUUGCUGAUGUGUGGACCUGGCCAUAACACAAGUCACUCCACCUUAUCACAAGCUGUUGGAAAGCUUUUGGCUGUGGCCAAUCUCAGAAAAGAGCAGGUAGAGAAUUGGCCAGUGGGGAAAGAAAAAAAAAAAACUGUAAAAAAAGACUGAAAAGUUAGGUUGUAAGGAACGGAAAAGUGAAAUGGAUGUGUGUGUGAAAACUGCACUCUACAAUUCUGACUCAGUGCUCUGCUGAUUACAAUACCUAGAUCCAUAUUCAUACCCAGUGUUGUUUAUUAGAUCUACUUGUGCCAGGCUGUUGGUAAGAUGGUAGAAGGAGGAGUUGCUUUUCUGUUGUUUGAGAUGCUUGCUUACCUUUAGCUUAAGGAAAAUAAAUAUGUUUUAUGGAAAGGCAUAUACAGAAUUAAUUACCAAAGGGGGAAGAGAAAGAUGGAUGAUGAAUACAGUACAAGAAGAGGAGUAUCUGGCAGAUGCAGAGUGUUGGUCAAUUUGUGCUCUCAAGUAGUUGCUGAGAUGUCAACGGAGGAAGGAAAGGAGGGAACUUAGCUUCAGGAUUGUGCAUAAAAUAUUAAGGCUGCCCUAUAACCUUCUUCUAUCCAUUUCCUCCAAAAUGAAAGUCUGAGUGGUUUGCAAAAUCCUUUCAAAUGAGUCUACCCUAGUUGAAAGACUCAGAAGUGCAGUGUGACAGGCUCUGAAUAGCAGUAGGCACCAUACGUACCACUUGCUAUUCUUUGUGUAUGUGCUGUGCAUGCAUACGGUCAGCAAUGAAACAUGUGGAUGGUAAAUGAAUGAAAAGCAGCCCAUGAAUUUGCUCUUUUUGUUUGUUUGUUUUCACAAACAAGGCAAGUAUUUUUAUGCAAAACUUGCACGUAUCUCAUGAGUGUGAGAAAUAAUAACAUGGAGCAUUUGAAGGCAGUGUGUGUAUUGCCUUGAUAAUUUUACUCUUUUUUUUUUUUAGGGAGAGCAAUUAUUUUUCUUCUUAAAAAAGGAGAGAGAAAACCCAGAACAUAAUAACUGCAAUUGUUUCUUAAACAAUCACAACUGCUUGGAAGGAGACCUCAAAAUGAAUCUAUAUCAGUAUUUUUUGAACAUGAAUUCUAAUGUUGGGUAGAGGAUGUUAGGCAGGGACUGAACUGUGGGUAAGGAUGGCUGGGUCUUCAGUUUCUUAAAUAUAGUUGCAGGCUGGUCCUUUGCUGGGGAGCAGGGCAGCUGACAUCCUUGGGUGGCAUCUGGCUGGGGAGCCAGCCUCUGGGAACGACCAAAAGAGGCAGUAUCCUAGGGAAGUAUCAGGAACCUUGGGUAGACAUCAGUCUAUCUGUAUUCUGGUCCUUGCAAGGUCCCUUCUAUUCUUGGACAUUAACUUCACCCCUCAUGAGAGGGGUCCUCUUCCCCCUUCCUUUCAGCCUCACACAGCGGCUCACAGUGCUUACCAUAGAGUCACAGAAUCAAUAAGGUAGGAAAAGACCACCAAGAUCACCUAGUCCAAUCACAAACCCACCCCCACCAUGCCCACUACCAAGUCCCUCAGUGCCACAUUUACAAGUUUCUUGAACACCUCCAGGGUUGGUGACUCUACCACCUCUCUGGGCUGCCCUGUCCAGUGCCUCACCACUCUUUAUGAGAAGAAAUUUUCCCUAACAUCCAAACUGAACCUCUGCUGACACAACUUAAGGCUAUCACCUCUUGUCCUAUUGCUGUUACCUCAGAGAAGAGGCUGAUGUCUGCCUCACCACAGCCUCCUUUCAGAUAGUUGUAGAGAGUGAUAAGGUCUUCCCUGAGCCUUCUCUGCUCCAGGCUAAACAAUGCCAGUUCCUUCACAUACCCCUCGUAAGACUUGUACUCCAGACCCUUCACACCCCUAAGAAGGAGUUCUCCUACCACCCUCUGCAGGAAUUGAUUAUUACUUUAUGGUGAGUGGCAGCAGAAGUACUGCUACUCUUUCCUUGUACAGAGCAAGUAACUUCCAGAGGAAAGUCAGUCAGUAUCACUCAUUUCACCCUUUAGGAAAAUAGGAUCCCAGAAUCCCAGAGAAGGUGUGUGCCUUGCCUCUUUCCUCACCACCAGCUCAUGUUAUCCAUCAGUGGUGCCUGGCACAUCGCAACAGGGGAAUUGUUACUGAAGCCUGCAUGGCUGGCUGCUCCCAGUGCAUCAGCACACUCCCCCUGUACUCAUAGAGACUGACGGAUGCACACCCUGUUGCAUGUUAUUGCUCUCUUAAUGCACUGCAAUUUUUCCCCCAAUAUCCUAACCGAGAAUGAUCGUUACUGUUGAACAUUCUUUUUCCAUUUGCUGCAACCCA